RNAcentral lists this small RNA (149 nucleotides) under Chelonoidis abingdonii (Abingdon island giant tortoise). RNAcentral describes it as "TUC338 (ENSCABG00000009166.1)". Lineage: Eukaryota; Metazoa; Chordata; Testudines; Testudinidae. The record is from RNAcentral.
GUGAAAGGUGCUGGUUUGCCAGCAAUCCACAAAACGGGGACAGUAACCAUGUGAGCUCCCUCAGCAAUAUGCCUCUAUACUGACAUGGAGGGACCACCAUUUGGAUGAGAGUGGAGUUCUAUCCAUGGCCCAUUCAAUUCUUGGUCUCU